RNAcentral lists this ribosomal RNA (306 nucleotides) under uncultured Peredibacter sp. Its description in RNAcentral is "bacterial SSU rRNA". It matches the Rfam family "Bacterial small subunit ribosomal RNA", at positions 1033 to 1340 of the family's 1533-position model. The record is from RNAcentral. Lineage: Bacteria; Pseudomonadati; Bdellovibrionota; Bacteriovoracia; Bacteriovoracales; Bacteriovoracaceae.
GACAGGUGCUGCAUGGCUGUCGUCAGCUCGUGUUGUGAAAUGUUGGGUUAAGUCUCGCAACGAGCGCAACCCCUAUCUUUAGUUGCCAGCAUUAAGUUGGGCACUCUAGAGAGACUGCCCGGGUUAACCGGGAGGAAGGUGGGGAUGACGUCAAGUCCUCAUGGCCCUUAUGCCUAGGGCUACACACGUAAUACAAUGGUGCAUACAGAGGGAAGCGACCUGGCAACAGUGAGCAAAUCUCAAAAAGUGCAUCUCAGUCCGGAUUGGAGUCUGCAACUCGACUCCAUGAAGUUGGAAUCGCUAGUA